AUCAAUGCAAAGACCGGAAAUAGUAAGAUGAAAUGCACUUUUCAGAGAGGAAACCAAAUUGGUGCGAGGUUUCCAGGCAGCAGCAUCCGAAGUCGUCCGCGAGCAGUCUUCGUGAACUUCUUAGUAGCGAAGGCCGGUGAAGAGCCGUUAUCCGAUUUGAGAGCCGAAAGGGAUUUUUUUCUUUUUCGGAAAAAAGGUGGCACCGCGAACAACUUCCUUCGUCCUUUUG
RNAcentral lists this non-coding RNA (229 nucleotides) under Bacillus sp. (in: firmicutes). RNAcentral describes it as "Bacillus sp. T-box sequence". It matches the Rfam family "T-box leader". Rfam says of the family: Uncharged tRNA acts as the effector for transcription antitermination of genes in the T-box leader family. T-boxes are found upstream of many aminoacyl-tRNA synthetase genes and some amino acid biosynthetic genes usually in Gram-positive bacteria. The anticodon of a specific tRNA base pairs to a specifier sequence within the T-box motif, and the NCCA acceptor tail of the tRNA base pairs to a conserved bulge in the T-box antiterminator hairpin. Lineage: Bacteria; Bacillati; Bacillota; Bacilli; Caryophanales; Bacillaceae. The record is from RNAcentral. RNAcentral also lists the same sequence under 1 other name.